RNAcentral lists this transfer RNA (93 nucleotides) under Micromonospora yangpuensis. RNAcentral's name for it is "tRNA-Gly". Lineage: Bacteria; Bacillati; Actinomycetota; Actinomycetes; Micromonosporales; Micromonosporaceae. The record is from RNAcentral.
CGGCCGGGUCGGCCGGGGUGUGGUCGGCCGCCCGCCGGGCGGCGUUGCGGAUGGCGCGCAGGCGCAGCAGCAGGUCGUCGCCGCCCCGGCCGA